RNAcentral lists this unclassified non-coding RNA (206 nucleotides) under Hevea brasiliensis (rubber tree). The record is from RNAcentral. Lineage: Eukaryota; Viridiplantae; Streptophyta; Magnoliopsida; Malpighiales; Euphorbiaceae.
AAAGAUUUCUUGAUCUUGAAGGGCCCUUGUCCAAACUGUGGGACCGAGAACGUCUCCUUCUUCGGGACUAUAUUGUCGGUGUCCAGUGGUGGUUCUACUAAUACUUUAAAAUGUUCAGAUUGCGGCACUGAAUUGGUGUAUGACUCUGCAACACGGUUAAUUACGCUUCCAGAACCAAGUGAAGCAUGAUAAGAGGUACAUAAAAG